UACGUAGGGUGCGAGCGUUAAUCGGAAUUACUGGGCGUAAAGCGUGCGCAGGCGGUGAUGUAAGACAGAUGUGAAAUCCCCGGGCUCAACCUGGGAACUGCAUUUGUGACUGCAUCGCUGGAGUGCGGCAGAGGGGGAUGGAAUUCCGCGUGUAGCAGUGAAAUGCGUAGAUAUGCGGAGGAACACCGAUGGCGAAGGCAAUCCCCUGGGCCUGCACUGACGCUCACUCACGAAAGCGUGGGGAGCAAACAGG
This 253-nucleotide ribosomal RNA is filed under the name uncultured bacterium. Its description in RNAcentral is "partial 16S ribosomal RNA". It matches the Rfam family "Bacterial small subunit ribosomal RNA", at positions 524 to 776 of the family's 1533-position model. The record is from RNAcentral.